This 239-nucleotide unclassified non-coding RNA is filed under the name uncultured fungus. Its description in RNAcentral is "sequence contains ITS1". The record is from RNAcentral. Lineage: Eukaryota; Fungi.
AGUAUAUAGAUGUGUUACAUCGAUUACAUUCAGAUUAAAUAGGUGAGUGUGUGUAGUAGCAGACGGAAACAAAUCCCCUCCCCCCCAAAUGAAAGGAAAGAAAUAAGCCUCCGUCUCACGAGUGCACAGGGGUGUGUGGAUGAAAGAGAAGGCGUGCACAUAUAUGCCUUUUGCAGGCCAGCUACAACCGACUCUAUGUUCGUUCGAUAAUGAUCCUUCCGCAGGUUCACCUACGGAAA